AUACAGAGAGUGCAAACGUUGUUCGGAAUUACUGGGCUUAAAGCGCACGUAGGCGGCAUUGAAAGUGUGAGGUGAAAGCCCACGGCUCACCCGUGGAACGGCCUUGCAAACUUCAAUGCUAGAGUGUGGUAGGGGAGAGCGGAACUCCUGGUGGAGCGGUGAAAUGCGUAGAUAUCAGGAGGAACACCGGUGGCGAAGGCGGCUCUCUGGUCCAUAACUGACGCUGAGGCGCGAAAGCUAGGGGAGCAAACGGGAUUAGAUACCCCGGUAGUCC
This 274-nucleotide ribosomal RNA is filed under the name uncultured bacterium. Its description in RNAcentral is "partial 16S ribosomal RNA". It matches the Rfam family "Bacterial small subunit ribosomal RNA", at positions 523 to 796 of the family's 1533-position model. The record is from RNAcentral.